UAAGAUGUCAUUUAAUGACAGAUCAAGAGUUUCGCCUAUUAGAUAUAUGCCCUAGAAACCAAUAUAAAAUUGAUAAUUCUAAGAAAAUAAUAUAUAAUAAUCAAAGGGGCAAAAACGUUGCUUUAGAUACAUAAUGUACACAACGUAACAAGUCCAUGGAUUAAGAUAUAAAUGGAAAGUGGUCUAAAGGAGUUAGAUGCAC
Molecule: long non-coding RNA, 202 nt
Filed under: Prunus persica (peach)
Lineage: Eukaryota; Viridiplantae; Streptophyta; Magnoliopsida; Rosales; Rosaceae
Description: long non-coding RNA (PPER_LNC000823)
Source: RNAcentral